Hibiscus syriacus is the source of this 258-nucleotide long non-coding RNA. RefSeq lists it as uncharacterized. The transcript has 3 exons. The record is from RefSeq and is a predicted model, not a curated record. Lineage: Eukaryota; Viridiplantae; Streptophyta; Magnoliopsida; Malvales; Malvaceae.
AUGCAUCUGAGGAAUUAUUGGAAGUUGAUUUCAAGAUCGAGGGCAUCGAGGGCGUUCAAAUGGAAAUUAAUGGUCGAUCAGUAUGGCACAAAAAUCGAGGUUAAAAGAAUUGUACCAGUGCAUCUAUCGAAUUCAGUAAGAGAGUUCUUCUAGGGCUGCUUGUAGAGUACGCUACAUGUGAAUAGGGGCCAUGUAAUUGUAUUUUGUUUUAUAUACAAGUCUGAAAAUCUAUGUUAUUUCUUCGUACUGAUAAAUCAU